This 430-nucleotide ribosomal RNA is filed under the name Pseudomonadota bacterium. RNAcentral's name for it is "Proteobacteria bacterium partial 16S ribosomal RNA". It matches the Rfam family "Bacterial small subunit ribosomal RNA", at positions 355 to 776 of the family's 1533-position model. The record is from RNAcentral. Lineage: Bacteria; Pseudomonadati; Pseudomonadota.
UGGGGAAUAUUGGACAAUGGGGGGAACCCUGAUCCAGCCAUGCCGCGUGUGUGAAGAAGGCCUUAUGGUUGUAAAGCACUUUAAGCGAGGAGGAGGGUACUGGUAUUAAUACUACCAGCUACUGGACGUUACUCGCAGAAUAAGCACCGGCUAACUCUGUGCCAGCAGCCGCGGUAAUACAGAGGGUGCGAGCGUUAAUCGGAUUUACUGGGCGUAAAGCGUGCGUAGGCGGCUAAUUGAGUCGGAUGUGAAAUCCCCGAGCUUAACAUGGGAAUUGCAUUAGAUACUGGUUAGCUAGAGUGUGGGAGAGGAUGGUAGAAUUCCAGGUGUAGCGGUGAAAUGCGUAGAGAUCUGGAGGAAUACCGAUGGCGAAGGCAGCCAUCUGGCCUAACACUGACGCUGAGGUACGAAAGCAUGGGGAGCAAACAGG